UUAUUAUGUGAACACAAUGUUGUUGAGAGAGGAUGGAGAAGAAGGUUGAGAAAAAUGGUUAUGGAAGUUUGUUGCAGGGAUUGCAGAAGAAGCUUGGUUGAAGGCUUUGCAGAACGAAGGGGAUAGAAGGUGAUUAAAAAAAUGGAAUGAGAGAGCCUUCUGAAAUGUGAAGGUUUUUAUUUAUAGCCUUUUCCAAAAUCCUCUUCUCUCCUUCUUCUAUUAUGAAUUCAGUUAGAAGUUGUUAUUUGGGAUGAGAAUUGGUUAGAGUUUUGUUAGGCUUGUAUUAGAUUUUUGUUAGAGCUUUUUGGAUAAGUUUUCUGUUAGUGAUGUAUUGUGUCGUUAACUGAGUUUUUUCACCUUUUUGGCUUAUGGUUUUACAAGUUUUGGCGUUGCCGUUUACCGGUUUUGCAGUGUAUUUCAUGUUGCAGCGACUUGCGUUUUGAUUCUAUCUGCAACGCCUUUUGAAUUUGUUGCGUGUUGUAGCUUUUGCUAUGUGUUGGUUGUUCUAGUUGUUGGCAGCUUAUGUUGGUUCAAUGAUGUAGCUUUAGAAUAUGGAGUUUUAUAUUGUUGCUUC
This 574-nucleotide long non-coding RNA is filed under the name Lathyrus oleraceus (garden pea). RNAcentral describes it as "Pisum sativum (pea) long non-coding RNA (PSAT_LNC032642)". The record is from RNAcentral. Lineage: Eukaryota; Viridiplantae; Streptophyta; Magnoliopsida; Fabales; Fabaceae.